CCUACGGGAUGCAGCAGUCGGGAAUAUUGCGCAAUGUAGGAAACUCUGACGCAGUAACGCCGCGUGCAUGAAGAAGGUUUUCGGAUUGUAAACUGCUUUAGACAGUGAAGAAACAAGACAUUACCUGUAAAAUAAGCUCCGACUAACUACGUGCCAGCAGCCGCGGUAAUACGUAGGGAGCAAGCGUUAUCCGGAUUUAUUGGGGGUAAAGGGUGCGUAGACGGGAAGUCAAGUUGGUUGUGAAAUCCCUCGGCUUAACUGAGGAACUGCAAUCAAACCUACCUUUCUUGAGUGCGGGAGAGGAAAGUGGAAUUCCGGGUGUAGCGGUGAAAUGCGUAGAUAUGAGGAGGAACACCAGUGGCGAAGGCGACUUUCUGGACAGUAACUGACGUUGAGGCACGAAAGUGUGGGGAGCAAACAGGAUUAGAUACCCUGGUAGUC
Molecule: ribosomal RNA, 441 nt
Filed under: uncultured bacterium
Lineage: Bacteria
Description: partial 16S ribosomal RNA
Rfam family: Bacterial small subunit ribosomal RNA
Source: RNAcentral